RNAcentral lists this long non-coding RNA (717 nucleotides) under Manihot esculenta (cassava). RNAcentral's name for it is "long non-coding RNA (MESC_LNC012172)". The record is from RNAcentral. Lineage: Eukaryota; Viridiplantae; Streptophyta; Magnoliopsida; Malpighiales; Euphorbiaceae.
GGCAUGGUAUGUGGGACCACAAUCACUUUCACUUUGAAAUUCGGGGUUUGGAAUAAUUUAGACUUUGUCAUCAAAUGACUUAAUUCAUUGACUUCUUUUUAUUUUUUUUUUAUUUUGAUAUUGUGCAAAUUAUCAUUAAUUGUUAGGCUUGAGUUCGAUAAGGUCUUCGACUUCGCCUACGAUUUGCCGAGUUACUUUGUGGUUGGUGAUUUGUUGCAUUUUGUGGUUUUGUUAGAUUUAUAGUUAUUUUUUUAAUCUCUAUCUCUAAUUUUUCUUGCCGGUUGUAGACGGCUUCUCCGGUGAGGGAUUUACUCGAUAAACUUUGUUUACUUGAGGAUUUCCAUAUGACUAUGAAAAGGGUUUGAUUUCAGUAACGGUGGACUCUCGAGACCGCACUGUUACAUUCGGUGAUCUCUACUUUUGCAUGUCAUUGUUCAGCUAAGCUCUGAACGUCUCCCCUUUAUAGUAGUGUUUGGAUGACUAAAACUCUUGUUUUGUUUCGAACACCUCCUCCAGUUGACUGCAUGUUAAUUGUUUUGUUUUCUUAUUAUGUUUCUUUUGUUUUUCCUAGAUUUGGUGUUGAUUGCCUUCUUUGCUUAUUGUUGUAUUCACUUCCGUGUUGGUCGAUUACAAUGGGAUGUCGAAAAAAGUCAUCAGUGCUAUGGCGAUAGAGUUUGGUAUGGUUUGAUUGGGUUUAUACUGGAUUUUAAACUUUAC